This is a long non-coding RNA of Belonocnema kinseyi, 1167 nucleotides long. RefSeq lists it as uncharacterized. Lineage: Eukaryota; Metazoa; Arthropoda; Insecta; Hymenoptera; Cynipidae. The record is from RefSeq and is a predicted model, not a curated record. The transcript is spliced from 6 exons.
GCGAAUGACAUCGAUUCUCAAUUAGUCCCGAUGGGGAUCGAACAUUGAACUGAACUGCGGAUUCAGUGAUCGCUAAUUAACUCGAAACCUCUCGUUUUCCGCCAACUCGACGGAUCAUUAUCAAAGCAUUUCCACCGACUAAGCGCGUGUGAACGUUCGCGUGAGAAUCAACAUCGCCAACCACAGACUAGAACUCUAGAGUUCGAACUAGUUUCGUCUUAUUUUGCGUUUUCUUUUUACAACUCAACUCAAUUUUCAGCACGUGUGAUUUGAUGGCUGAUAAACUUUAUCACAAGCCAACGAUCGAGCCGGACAUUGUCCUAGACACGAGAGCAAAACUAUUCAUCAUUUAAUCUUUUCUCCACUUCGUCUAACAAUGCAGGUUUUCAAGUGGAGAUUCUCGACUCGGAUGGGUGAGCAUCUGCGACGUACGACCAGACGCCGAGGUUGAUUGCGUGCUUUUGAUGGUCCUGGUCGAAUGUCUACCUUCAAACUCAAAUGUCUCGAAAAGGGCUAAACUCUGGAGGCGGUUGUCUACACUUUUUCUCUCUCCUGGACCAAUGUCUUAAGAAAUGCGAGUACUUUUUACAAAGUCGGAUACAGUCGCCCACGUGUUAAGAAGUUAAUUCAGCUUCGAGGCAACAGUGAUGCCUUUUGGAAUCAGUCCCCUGAUCCUUUCCAUUUGAGACUUCACAGUGGACAGUUCAGCCUUGCUCUACCAGACCACCGCUGCGUAGGUGCUUAGGGCCAUCGCAGUCGAGUGACCAGCCCUAUUGGGAUCUGAAAUACAGCGACCCUAGAUGUUAGGUUUCCGCACGUGGUGGUGUAAUGAUCAUGUAGCAGCCGAUGGUCUUGUGAUCGUCAUGUGGUGGUCAAACCGUGAUGUGGUGGUUGUGAGGUAACCCACGGUAGCGUGCUGAGCUAGAGUUGUUCCAAGUAAAAUUGUAAGUCUGACCUCUAGGGACCCUGGUCAGAUGAAUAGAUCUUGCAUGACAAUAUCAGUUAAAGAUUCAGAUACUGGAGACCGGAUCACGUUUUUAAAGACGAAUCUAGAAGAAGAAGCUAGAGUGCAGGCAGUUUUGCAUCUCCCGGCUGAACCUGUUUUACAUCUGGCCUUAGAGUAAAUAAUUUAAUGCUUCUUUAUGGCUGAAAAAAUUUAUUUUUUAG